AACGAACGCUGGCGGCAGGCCUAACACAUGCAAGUCGAACGCCGUAGCAAUACGGAGUGGCAGACGGGUGAGUAACACGUGGGAACGUACCUUUCGGUUCGGAAUAACUCAGGGAAACUUGAGCUAAUACCGGAUACGUGCGAGAGCAGAAAGAUUUAUCGCCGAAAGAUCGGCCCGCGUCCGAUUAGCUUGUUGGUGAGGUAAUGGCUCACCAAGGCGACGAUCGGUAGCUGGUCUGAGAGGAUGAUCAGCCACACUGGGACUGAGACACGGCCCAGACUCCUACGGGAGGCAGCAGUGGGGAAUAUUGGACAAUGGCGAAAGCCUGAUCCAGCCAUGCCGCGUGAGUGAUGAAGGCCUUAGGGUGUAAAGCUCUUUGUCCGGGAAGAUAAUGACGGUACCGGAAGAAUAAAGCCCCGGCUAACUUCGUGCCAGCAGCCGCGGUAAU
Molecule: ribosomal RNA, 448 nt
Filed under: uncultured bacterium
Lineage: Bacteria
Description: bacterial SSU rRNA
Rfam family: Bacterial small subunit ribosomal RNA
Source: RNAcentral